Long non-coding RNA from Ictalurus punctatus (channel catfish), 8498 nucleotides. The record is from Ensembl. NCBI's taxonomy places the organism in Eukaryota, Metazoa, Chordata, Actinopteri, Siluriformes, Ictaluridae.
GUCAAUUCUAGCCACAAUUUUUUUCCUUGUGUAUUUAACAUAGAAAAAAGGUGUGUAUGAGGCUCUUGGCCUCACUUUUGUUGAUUCACAUCAGAAUUCUGACUGACAAAAUGCCUGAACCACAUUGCUUUCAUUUUUGGCUCUGCCUUUUUCCUUUCUUAAUGCUCUUCUAAAACUAUAAAUAAAAUGAAUACAUUUUGAAUGCAAUUUAUUUUGUGAUGUCACCGAUAUAGGUGUGAGGGCAGUAAUAUGAGGGUUAGUGUAGUCUGUGUUACGUCUUUUCAAAAUUCAUUCAUGCAAAAAUCUCAUUUGUAUUUGUCCACUUGGGAAGCAUACACUUUGACUUUUCUGUGACAAAGCUGUUGUAUUGUUUGACAGUAGACAUUAAAUUUAGAUGGGAAAUUAUGUAGCUUUUCACUGUACAGACUAGGGAGUGUUCAGGCGUUAAAUCACGUGACGAGAAAAUAAAAAUGUAGGCUAUAAUUUACAAAUGCUUGUCAGAUGUUAAUCUUUAUGCCUUUGAUAUGAGAGCAUAUCGAUGUUUCGUGGUGUACAGGUUGAAUAUUUUCCUUUGUUUAUAUCUAAACUAACCCCGGCCCGGUUUGAAGAGAGAGUCCUCUUAAUGUUACAAGCUGGACUCAAAGAAUUGAGCAUGAAUACCUGUGUUAGGCAUUAUUUCCACUCUCUGUUAUCUUUCUCUAGCAUGCAAGAUUCAGUCGGGAGCACUAGUAGCUUUUUGUGGUCGAUGGGGAUUACUACUUUCCUAAUAAGUGAAUGAAGUGGGUGGAAAUGAUUUGCUCUGCAUUUUAAAAAUAUGGCUUGAUUAAAGUUGCCUGCAUCACGGAUCCCGGGAUUGUGUUAGAUUAGAACUAUUGGUAUUUAUUAUGUUACUUGAUUUUUGACUGGCCUCUCGAUGCUACAUUGUGUCUGAGUGUAAUCAUAUGGUGGAAUAAUCCUAUUCUACAGGGUGUCCCAAAAGUCUCCAUACAUAGGGGAAGUUAAUACUUUUUUAACAAAAUGUACCUGUAUUUACAAAACAUUCUCUACAUGAUUCCCUCUCCCAAUUUUGGCUCCCAGUUUGGCAACAGUGUGGUGUGUGUGUGUGUAUGUGUGAUGUGCUUGCUAUGUUUCCAGUUAAAGUCCAUGGCACACAGCUUCCCGAUCACAGAAGCGACAGCUUCCUGAUCCAGCCAUAAGGAUGAUUUCAAUACAUUCUUCUACUGUCGAAGGCAUUCUUAAAGGCUGGAAUGUGUGUAUAAAUAUAAGUAUGAAAAAUUUGGCAAGACAUUCUGCUAAAAAGUGUUAAUUUCCCUUUACAGUUGAGACUUUUGGGAAACCCUGUAUAUGUGCUUGUUUUUCUUUGGUUGUCAUUUGUGCAUUCAAGCAGAAGUGUGUGUGUGUGUGUGUGUGUGUGUGUGAGAGAGAGAGAGAGAGAGGGAGAGAGGGAGAGAAUGAGAACAUGCAGUACAUAAUGAAGCCAUUCGAUCAGAUAUCUUUGGGUAAAAGGGUUUAUAAAACAUGGUCUUUCCCUGCGCUGGUUUAUUUGAGGCUGCUAGCUAAUUGUGCAUGUAGUGUGUAUAUAUAGCAUUUAUUUUUGUACUUCACUAAAAUUCAAAAAGCUUCAAGAUUAUGUAAUUAUGUCUCUCAAAUAUAUACCAUGGACUUCAGAACAAAGUCUGUUGAAGCUAUAUUAUAGUGAAGUAUUUUUAGGUUCUCUGUACUCAAGGCAUGAGUGAUUAAUUAAUUGACAUAAGACAGAGUAUGAAAUCUCGAAAAGAUGUGGUGUUAUUUACACUGUUGUAUUGUGGGAAUUGGUCAAGUUACAGUAAAAAGGAAAUUCUAAAUUGAUCUCUUUUCUUGUCUUGUAAUCUUUGGUGACAGUAUGACUAACAAGCAUGUGAAGGGAAGCUGUAUGUAGCAAUGAAUAGAAAAUAACAAUUGUGCCCUAGUGUAUAACCUCAUGUGAACAGGAAGAUGAUGGUGAAUCAAGCACUUAUUCACAUUGAAAUGGAAAAAUAAUUGUCACUGUUUGUCAAAAAAAAGUGCAGAGUUCAUAAUGGAAGUGAUAUAAUUUGGUGUCAUUCAGUAUAUCUUGUCUUCAGUUGUGUUCCCGAUACAUUUUUGGUAUAUAUUUUUUUUACACAGUCAUAAUUUGAGCCAUAUUUGCAGGUGAAACAGCCAACAUUUUCAAAAUAAUUUCAUCACUGGGCCUGACAUUGUCUGUUUUAGUUGUAAAGUAGGCUGUAAAAGCAGGUAAGUAAUAUCAGGUCUAGCUGAUAUUCAGAUGCGAUUGCAAGUGAAAACAGAGAGUGACAUUAUAAGGACGAUGUGAGCAGAUUACAUCUCUUAAAGCUGAGCAUCGUCAAACGUAGCUGAGGAAGACUGAUACUCUAGUGGACCUCCAUAGUGCAGUAUUUAAAAGAGCCUGGUUGUCUCUCGAUGGCUGGUUGUUCUGCUUUGAAUGUGGAAAUUGAGCAAGGGACCUUAUUUAUGUCAUGAUAUGGAAACAUCACAUUCUUGUUAAAAAAACAAAAAAGGUUCCCAAGCUUCCUGUGUCCCUAAACACACAUUUGUAAUAGUAGAUUGUGACUGUGGGUGACAUGCGACAUUUAAUGAUGGGUGACAUUUUAUGUACUGAAUUCCAGGGACGAUAAACUUUUUACAAUUUCUCAAAGUGUGAAUUGUUAAAAUAACGGGAAGGUAGACAAUUCGGGAGAGAAAUGCAGAAUUACAGAGCUGUGUCACUACAUUUACUGUCUGAAUAUUUAUUAAUGUGUUCCAUUUAUUUGCAAGUAAGUUCAAAUUAGUCAUCAGUCACCACUGGCUUUUUCAAAUCUCUUGCCACACAUGUAUUUUUAGGACAGAACAGUGUCUUAUUCAUUUAAGUGCGUUUUAGAGUCUCAAUCAGCUCUGUGUAAUUUCACUUUGGAGAUUGUUGGAGCAGCGUGGCCUAGUCAACAGCUGUGACUUUUAACCUUUUGCUUGCCCAGCUGCAGCAGUUCAACCGGUUGCUGUACAGGUUUCCGUGUGUACCGACUUUUUCACCAUCUAAAAAGAAACGACAUGUCUACUUAUCCAGUGCAGUUCUAUUUUUAAAUAGUUGUUUUUUUUAUGUGCAAGGGUUUUCAAGCUCACUUACACAGUAAGUGUUAAGUGACAAUCGCCUGAUAAUAUAUGAACAGUUCAAAUACUGUUUCAGGAUGAGCAAUGCAAAAGGUGUGUGUGUGUGCGUGUGUGUCAGAGGGAAGAGAUAGCGUGGGCUGAAUUUGAAUACCGAGAUGCCAAGUAGAAAACAUAGGAUGUGUAAAUGCCACAUAGAAAUAUCGAAUCCUUCUCAAAAUAUUGCACAGCCCUGAAUAAUAUGCAUGACCUUUUUUUCUUUUUUCAGAAAACCACAAGCCUUCUCAGUUUUGUUUUUCGGGCGUAAUUUGGCUUAUGUUUAAGUUCACCAUCUUUGUGUUAAGACAAACAUUCUUCGAACCUCUGCAGGAUAGCAGCAUAUUUAGAAACGUGCAUGGGCAUAAAAACAAAACCGAUAUAUGUAGAUUUUUUUUCUUUUCUUUUUCCAAUCAGUCUGUUGUCCUGCACACAUUUGAUUUGCUAUUGUUAGCAGGUUGCAGUGUAGUGUGUAAUGUGUAGAGCACUGUCAUAUGGCAGUGUUUUUUAAGUGAGAUGUUUGUUUAUUUUAGUUUGAUUUUAUUCUUAGAUUUCAUCUGUGUAAUGUAUUUUAACUGAGUUUGCAGUUGUAGAUGAAAACAGGUCCAUGACACAUACUUAAUUAAAAUGCAUUUGUCAACUGCUAGAACAGAAAUACAAGGCUCUUAACACCUUUAUGCACUUUACUCCAUGCACAUGACUAUACAAUACAAAUUGUUUUAAUUCGAUUCUGCAAGUGACACUUCAUUUAGCAGUGAUGUGAAUUUUCUGCUGUUGUAAUUACAGAUCACUGAGUAGUAGUAGUAGUUGUUGUUGUUGUUUUUUAGUGGCUCAUUGCUUAUCACAAACUUCUCAUUUUGUUUUGACCAUGCUGCCUUAACAUUACUCGACUCUCAAAAGCCACGAGGUGGGCGUAUGUUUCCAACACAAUUUUAAAAAACAGCAAAAAAAACCCCCCAACCGGCUGCCUUAAGAUCGGUGCUGUUAGUUUAUACACUUAAAUAAUGACCUUAAAUGUCUCAUAUUGACUAUUUAUGAGUACUGUUCUGUUGUUGGUGUUCAUUCUGGUUCAGCUGUUUAGAAAAGGGUGGGGGAGGAAACAUACAUAUGUCUGCAUGGUAUGAUAUGUAUCUUUCACUUAAGAGAACUUUUCAAAAGUCAACUUUCAGCCUCUUUUUUUGGUCUGUAUGUCUACAUAUGUCUAAGUGUGUGUCUGUGUGUGUGUCUGUGUCUGUUUGUGUGUGUGUUUUGUAUUUCACAAAGUGUAUCAGUACUCCCACCUGUGGUUGUGUGCUGCUUGCUGCUUUGCGCACAGACAACAGUAAGAGGUUAAUGGUAGUCACAAAAACACUCCAGCAUUUAAAAAACAAAACAAACAAAAAACAAACUAGAAUUAGUGUCUGUGCAAAUAUGGACAUUUAGUUUGUUUCUAGUUGUUACUGGUUUUAGUUUUUACUUUGUUGUUAGUUGAAACCCUUAAUCUGUCUAAUUCCUAGUUAAUUCUAGCAAUACAAAGCUAUAUAUUUGUAGUUACUCUGAUGCAGUUUUACACAAGCCAUUUCUGUAAAGGUUUCUUCAUUCUUAGCAUGUCAUAUUUUCCUCAGUUCAGACCUCAUUUCACAACAGAGGUAGAAUUUAGUAGUGCUGUUUUUCCAGGCACAGAAUGUAAUGCAGUUCUGAAGCUCUGAAGCUUUUUUUUUUAACCGACUGUUACUAGUUAGGUUAGGCAUGACUAUUUAAAAAAUGUGUGCUUAAAUUGUACGGUUUAUGGAGCUAUGAGUAAGAUUAGAUGACAUGCGUGGAGAUUUGAUCUUUGUUGUCUGUGAGAGUUUCAGUAUUAAUUGUCACUGCGUCUGCGUGUAGGAGUAACUUGUUAUCAGCAGCCAGUCAAAAACAGAACACCGAAUUUCACUCUACGUUUUUAUUAUUAAAAUCGCUCAUAUUGUACGAACGCCUGGACUGCUUCGUAUCGCGCUGAAAUUCUUUCAAUGAUUCGCUUUUUUACCCCCCUGUUUUGCUUUUGUGGGUGAAGGUAAAACAGAAAAAGCUCCCCAACAAUAUGAGGUAAUGUCUGCACAAGAAGUCCUUCGCAGCAGCAGCUCCUAAUAUAUUAUUGAGUAAAAUUGUGUGAAACCGAUGUAACGAAAACCAAGCGAGAUUUUAGAAAAUCACACUGCUGUAGAGUUCAGGACGUUCAGACGUGAAGUCCAUAAAGGCAUGGUUUGUAUGCCAAGGUUGGUAUGCUUAUUAAUGCAUGAUAAUGUUUUGUUCAUAUUUAUAAGUACAAAGUGAAAAAAUAGUUGUGUAAAUAUUAAGCGGUUAUAUUCACUAGGUGUAUUAAAUAACAAAAAACAAAAGUGUCCAAAUACUUAUUUCCCCAUGCUGUAGUUAACCAUCACUACAACAACCUAUAUGAGAAUGUUAGUCUUCUGAUUACAUGUUUAGACCUUAAUUUCACUUAAAAACUUUUAAUCUACUUUUGAUCACAACAAAACACUUUUUUUUUUUUUUCUUUCAAUGGUGACAUUUGGCAAGAAUGUUGAGAGCUGAAAAGUCAUCAAAAAUUCAAUAAAUACAAUGGACUUCUCUGGAAUAUAACAUAUAUAAUUGGCACAGCUGACAGAAUUCUUCAUCAUCAUCAUAUUAUUAUUAUUAUUAUUAUUAUUAUUAUUAUCAUUAUAUUGAAAAAGGGAACAUGUGAUCAAACUGACUUAAGAGAAAAUCUUAAGUGUUUCUCAUCAAAACAUGAUUUCAUUGCCUAUACUACAUUUAAUUAAAAUAAUCUAAUCUGCUAGCUUGAAUUAUGCAAUUAUGAGCGAGUGUGAUCCAUUGAGUAUUGACAUGAUCGAAUCACGUCAUACACUCUCGGCAUGCUGGCACAGUGGGUAGCGUUGUUGCCUCCCAGCUAUGAGGGCCUUGGUUUGCUCCUGUCUGUGGGGAGUUUGAGUUUAUUCCAGGCCUUUGAAUAUACAUGAUCAAAUCAUGUUGGCUGUACAAAACAGAUCAUGCAAACUCCACUAACAAGACUGUGUUAAUGCAGGUCAAUUAAUUUACAUAGAAAACAAAUACGUGAACUUAACAAUUAAAGUGUAAGAGCUGAUUUUGUGUUGAAGUAAAAUUUCACUUCUGUGGAACAUUUGUAUAAAGUAAAUUCACUGAACUUUUUGUUUCCAGUGUACAGAAUAUGCUGGCACAGAAUAACUUCUACAUAUACAUUUUAUGUCAGGUUUGAGGAAAUACGUAGUUCCAUAGUGAGGAACUAGUGAGUGUAUAGUCAUGUACAUAUACAGUGUAUGUGUUGUACAGAGAACACAAAGUUCAAACUACAGUGUGUGUGUGUUGACGUGACAGACAUACUUUAUGCUAAAUGUUAACAAAAUAUUAUGUUAUCAGUAUACAGUCCACUCCAAAACUAUUGGAAAGGCAAUGCUUAUUCUUUUGUUUGUGCUAUACACUGAAGGAUCCAAAGAUGGAUGAGACAAUAGAUCAGAAUUUCAGCUUUCAUUUCCUGGUAUUUACAUCUAGAUGUGUUAAACAACAUAAAACCUUUUGUAUCAGAACACCUAAUUUUUAGGGGAGCAAUAAUAAUGGAACAGAUGGCCUUAAAGUAAAUAACACUUAAUAUCCGGUUGCAUAUCCCUUGCUUGCAAUAACUGCAUCAACCCGAAGAUGCAUUCACAUCACCAAACUGUUGCCUUUUUAGAUGAGGUCAUUUAUUGUGUUGGCAGUGUGUUUUGGAUCAUUGUCUUGCUGCAUGAUGAAGUUCCUCCCAAUUAGGUUGGAUGCAUUUCUCUGAAAAUUGGAAGACAUUGUUCCUGUAAACUUCUGAAUUCAUUCUGUUGUUACCGACAUGAGUUACAUCAUCAAUAAAGAUUAGUGAGCCUGUUCCAGAAGCAGCCAUGCAAACCCAAGCCAUGACACUACUUCCACCAUGCUUGACUGAUGAGCUUCUAGCUUUUGGAUCAUGAGCAGAUCCAUUCUUUCUCCUCACUUUGGCCUUUCCAUUACUUUGGUUGAGGUUAAUCUUGGUUACAGAACUUUUGUGGCUCAUCUCUGUACUUCUUUUGCAAAUUCCAAUCUGGCUUUUCGAUUCUUACUGCUGAUGAGUGGUUUGCACCUUGUGGUAUUGCCUCUAUAUUUCUGCACUUGACGUCUUCUUCGAAUGGUGGAUUGUGAUACCGUCACCCCUGCCCUGUGAAGGUUGUUGAGGUCACUGACUGUUGUUUUUGGGUUUUUCUUCACAACUCAACAAUGUUCAUGUUAUCAACUGCUGUUGUUUUCCUUGGCUGACCUGUUCAAUGUCUGGUUAUUAAUACACCAGUGGUUUCUUUCUUUUUCAAGACAUUCCAAAUUGCUGUAUUGAUUAUGCCCAAUGCUCGUGCACUGGCUAAGAUACAUUUUCCCUCUCUUCUCAGCUUCAAAAUGGCUUGCGUUUCCCCCAUAGACAGCUGUUUUUCCUCCCAUAGACAGGUCUUCAUGUGGGUUUAUCCUUUUUAAUGACAAAUACAGGUCAUCACAGGUGAAACCUAGGACAAAAACCAAGAGUAGACGUUCAGAGAUAUUAAUUCUUUAAACAAUCAAUUUAACAGGACAUACCCAGGCAGCAAGAAACACACAUCAGUCAUAGGUUACAAUAUUUUUGAUCAAUUAAAAAAAAGUGUGGUUUCAAACAAAAGGUGCCAUGUUCCAAGUUGUUUUUAACAAUCUAGAUGUAAAUAUGAGGAAAUGAAAGCUGUAUUUCUGAUCUGUUGUCUCAUAUUUAUCUUUUGAUCUCAAACACAGAUGUCUUCAAUGUAUAGCAUUAAAAAAUAGAAUUGGCCUUUCUGUUCUGAGACUUUCAUAGGGGACUGUAUUUACUCUGCUGAAGGUCUUGAUUUUAGGUAUUAUGAGGCUGAUAAAUAGGUAAUUAUGGUAAUCAUCACGAUUGGUUUAGAGUUGCAUUGCUUUAUGUACAGUAUCACACUCCAAAUGGUCCAGGCUUAAUGAUUUUCAUGACUCAUGGGAGGUUAGGAUUAGCAUCAGAUUCAUAUUCAACAGCUGUGAAUUUAUAUUACAUUUAUAUAACUAGAGGAAUCGUCCUCUCUCAUAUCAGAAACUGAGUCUUUAACUGUAAUCACUUAUAUAACGUUCAUGCUACUGAUUGUCAGGAUUACAAUGAGCUAACCUAUGGAAGUCUAAUAUGUUUGUUUUAAAACUUCACACGCUUGACAAAUGUGGAUUUUGCAGUUCCUGUUUUGGCACUCCAUCUUCCCAUCCUGUAUCUGUCCAUUCACACUGGGGCCAGUCUCAAGUUUCCCGCAAAGGUGAAAGUUUGUUAACAAUGUAACACUGUAAUCUCGUUG